CCUUAAUUCAAUAAUUUGCAAAUGUAUUAUUUACAAAUGCUAAUGAAGAUAGAUUCUGAUAUUUGUGUCUGGUACUCUUUGGUAUCUAGCAAUAACCGCUGAUAACGUUUAGAUAAUCUUAUUUUCUACCCAUUGAUAUAAGCAAUAAAAAAGGGCGAAAGAUACCAGAGGGACAGACUCAUAGACCGAAAAUAAACUGACAACGCCAUGGCUAAAAAAGAAAAAGACAAACAGACAAAUGAUACUUGUAGUACACAAGACACAGCAUAGAAAACUAAAGACUUAGCAACACGAACCCCAUCAAACACUGGGGGUAAUAUCAGGUGCUCCGAAAGGGUUAGCAGAUCCUGUUCCACAUGUGGCACCCGUCGUGUUGCUCAUGUUAUUACAAACCCGGCAAAUAGUAUAAUUCGGUAGGUCACAUUCGUAGUGAAAAGGGAAAUGGAUUGUAGUUACGAUAUAAGGAACAUAUCCGAUAUCAUCUAUGAAACGGUAUUCCAUGACGGUCUACCAACCCGUGAUGGCUCCCGUAAAAUUUACGAAGUGAUGAUUUCAACUUCGCCAUUUGGAACUCUUAGUUUAAUAGCUUACUUGUGAGCAGCAACCCUCUUUCAAGGAAAUCAUGAUAUGAAAUACAAGCCCGGGAAUGUCGUAUCAAUUGGGAGAUAUAUACUCCGUAUGCAGGC
RNAcentral lists this long non-coding RNA (686 nucleotides) under Mytilus galloprovincialis (Mediterranean mussel). The record is from RNAcentral. Lineage: Eukaryota; Metazoa; Mollusca; Bivalvia; Mytilida; Mytilidae.